This 515-nucleotide unclassified non-coding RNA is filed under the name Hevea brasiliensis (rubber tree). The record is from RNAcentral. Lineage: Eukaryota; Viridiplantae; Streptophyta; Magnoliopsida; Malpighiales; Euphorbiaceae.
CUAACAUAUGCGGAUUUUAUUUGUCCAUAUAUGUGGCUACAUGGUGGCUUAGAUAUUUAAGCACCGAUGUUUUAUUGCAUAGGUGGGAGCUAUGCUUUGAGGCUAUUUUUAGUGUUUUUUGCACAAACAUAAUCUUAUAUACUGUAAUGCCAUUAGGCGCAGAAAUUUGUGUAAUAACGAUUACUUUAUCAGUGUAAUGCCCAUUAGGCACACAUAUCUUUACGAAAAUUUGUGUAAUGCUUGUUAAGCAAAGAAAUCUUUGUAAUCAUGAUUACUUACUUUAUUAGUUAUAUUUAUUCAUCACUUUAUAUGAAUUUUUAUUUUUGCUACCAAUAGAUAAAAAUAGGCAAUGCAUUCCAUUACUCAUUUUAUUCCACUAUAUCUUACCAAACAUGACCUUCUGGUUUAACAAAUAUAUAUGGGAUUGUUAUAGGUCCAUUCUCAUUGUUUUGGAGCCUAUCCCACUAGAAUGGUGUUGCCUCUUGAAAUGAAAGAAGAACCUGUUUAUGUAAAUG